This 176-nucleotide long non-coding RNA is filed under the name Cavia porcellus (domestic guinea pig). Its description in RNAcentral is "lncRNA (ENSCPOG00000033826.1)". The record is from RNAcentral. Lineage: Eukaryota; Metazoa; Chordata; Mammalia; Rodentia; Caviidae.
AGAUAGCAGAGCUCAGUGAAUUACAGAAGUGAUGAGGAGAAGAUGUAAAUACAGCAGAUACAAAGACCCGUCCUUCUUACCAAACCAGAAUGUUUAUGCAUGAUGAGAAGUGGAAAUUGACAAGAAUGUAACAACUCCUGGGAAAACGUGUCCAUUCUUCAGGGCCCUGGUGUUUG